AACGGACGCUGGCGGCAUGCCUAACACAUGCAAGUCGAACGAGACCUUCGGGUCUAGCGGCGCACGGGUGCGUAACGCGUGGGAACCUGCCCUUAGGUUCGGAAUAACUCCCCGAAAGGGGUGCUAAUACCGGAUAAUGUCUUCGGACCAAAGAUUUAUCGCCUUUGGAUGGGCCCGCGUUGGAUUAGCUAGUUGGUAGGGUAAAAGCCUACCAAGGCGACGAUCCAUAGCUGGUCUGAGAGGAUGAUCAGCCACACUGGGACUGAGACACGGCCCAGACUCCUACGGGAGGCAGCAGUGGGGAAUAUUGGACAAUGGGCGAAAGCCUGAUCCAGCAAUGCCGCGUGAGUGAUGAAGGCCUUAGGGUUGUAAAGCUCUUUUACCCGGGAUGAUAAUGACAGUACCGGGAGAAUAAGCUCCGGCUAACUCCGUG
This 433-nucleotide ribosomal RNA is filed under the name uncultured bacterium. RNAcentral's name for it is "partial 16S ribosomal RNA". It matches the Rfam family "Bacterial small subunit ribosomal RNA", at positions 29 to 507 of the family's 1533-position model. The record is from RNAcentral.